Molecule: ribosomal RNA, 208 nt
Filed under: uncultured bacterium
Lineage: Bacteria
Description: partial 16S ribosomal RNA
Rfam family: Bacterial small subunit ribosomal RNA
Source: RNAcentral
CGCGCAGGCGGUCGUAUAAGUCGAAUGUGAAAGCCCCCGGCUCAACUGGGGAGAGUCAUUCGAUACUGUUCGACUCGAAGGCAGGAGAGGGAAGUGGAAUUCCGGGUGUAGUGGUGAAAUGCGUAGAUAUCCGGAGGAACACCAGUGGCGAAGGCGACUUUCUGGCCUGUUCUUGACGCUGAGGCGCGAAAGCUAGGGGAGCAAACGG